UAGCGGCGGACGGGUGAGUAACACGUGGGCAACCUGCCCCUUAGACUGGGAUAACUCCGGGAAACCGGAGCUAAUACCGGAUAAUCCCUUUCUCCACCUGGAGAGAGGGUGAAAGAUGGCUUCGGCUAUCACUAGGGGAUGGGCCCGCGGCGCAUUAGCUAGUUGGUAAGGUAACGGCUUACCAAGGCAACGAUGCGUAGCCGACCUGAGAGGGUGAUCGGCCACACUGGGACUGAGACACGGCCCAGACUCCUACGGGAGGCAGCAGUAGGGAAUCUUCCGCAAUGGACGAAAGUCUGACGGAGCAACGCCGCGUGAGUGAGGAAGGCCUUCGGGUCGUAAAGCUCUGUUGUGAGGGAAGAAGCGGUACCGUUCGAAUAGGGCGGUACCUUGACGGUACCUCACC
RNAcentral lists this ribosomal RNA (406 nucleotides) under Shouchella clausii. RNAcentral describes it as "bacterial SSU rRNA". It matches the Rfam family "Bacterial small subunit ribosomal RNA", at positions 93 to 484 of the family's 1533-position model. Lineage: Bacteria; Bacillati; Bacillota; Bacilli; Caryophanales; Bacillaceae. The record is from RNAcentral.